This 104-nucleotide ribosomal RNA is filed under the name Bacillus sp. GGI-39. RNAcentral's name for it is "partial 16S ribosomal RNA". It matches the Rfam family "Bacterial small subunit ribosomal RNA", at positions 95 to 200 of the family's 1533-position model. Lineage: Bacteria; Bacillati; Bacillota; Bacilli; Caryophanales; Bacillaceae. The record is from RNAcentral.
GCGGCGGACGGGUGAGUAACACGUGGGCAACCUGCCUGUAAGACUGGGUAACUCCGGGAAACCGGGGCUAAUACCGGAAAUUCAUUCCCUCACAUGAGGGAAUG